This 264-nucleotide ribosomal RNA is filed under the name uncultured archaeon. RNAcentral describes it as "partial 16S ribosomal RNA". It matches the Rfam family "Archaeal small subunit ribosomal RNA", at positions 717 to 982 of the family's 1478-position model. The record is from RNAcentral.
ACACGACUACAUUAGAUACCCGUGUGUCCUAGCCGUAAACGAUACUCGCUAGGUGUCGGCCACGGUGCGACCGUUGUCGGUGCCGUAGGGAAGCCGUGAAGCGAGCCACCUGGGAAGUACGGCCGCAAGGCUGAAACUUAAAGGAAUUGGCGGGGGAGCACCACAACGGGUGGAGCUUGCGGUUUAAUUGGAUUCAACGCCGGAAAUCUUACCGGGACCGACAGCAACAUGAAGGCCAGGCUGAAGACUUUGCCGGAUUAGCUG